GUUUCCAUCCCCGUGAGGGGUAAUUGAUUGAAAAC
This is a non-coding RNA of Tolypothrix sp. PCC 7601, 35 nucleotides long. The record is from Rfam. Lineage: Bacteria; Bacillati; Cyanobacteriota; Cyanophyceae; Nostocales; Tolypothrichaceae.